RNAcentral lists this ribosomal RNA (463 nucleotides) under uncultured bacterium. Its description in RNAcentral is "partial 16S ribosomal RNA". It matches the Rfam family "Bacterial small subunit ribosomal RNA", at positions 28 to 507 of the family's 1533-position model. The record is from RNAcentral.
GACGAACGCUGGCGGCGUGCUUAACACAUGCAAGUCGAACGGUGACCCCCUUCGGAGGGGCUCAGUGGUGCACGGGUGAGUAAAACGUGGGCAACCUGCCCCCGGCUCUGGGAUAACUCCAAGCAAUUGGGGCUAAUACUGGAUGUUCCCCGCUUCCCGCACGGGUGGUGGUGCACAGGUUUUCUGGCUGGGGUUGGGCCCGCGGCCUCUCCGCUUGUUGGUGGGGUAGGGGCAUACCAAGGCAAGGACGGGUAGCCGGCCUGGUAGGGUGGCCGGCCACACUGGGACGGAGACACGGCCCAGACUCCUACGGGAGGCAGCAGUGGGGAAGAUUACACUAUGGGCGGAAGCCUGGCGCAACGAAGCAGCGUGGGGUAUGACAUCCAUCGGGUUGUAAACCUCUUUCAGCAUGGACGAGGUGAUAAUGACGGUACCGGCAGAAGAAGCUCCGGCCAACUACGUG